GUGAUCCAAUUAAAGCAGAUGAGAUCAGAUGGCAAGUUGCUAGGAGUAUUAAAAACUUUAAUGAUAAGGAUUUGAGAUCCAUGCGAGUGAAAGUCAAAAAUGCUGAAAAAUGGUUGGAGAGUAAUAGGGUGGUAUGUGCCAGGGAUGACAAAAGCAAGUUGAUUGUUUUGUUAAAAAAGGAUAUGUAUGAUUCCUUUGUUAAUGGUUUUAUAGUAGAAAGUGGUUCCGAGAGGCUGGAUUACGAUCCAACAGAAAGAUUAGAGAAAGAAGUCCAAUCUAUAUUAAGAGAUAGUAAAUUACCAACUUUCUUGAAAGGGUCAUUGGUUAAGUCACCCAGACUCCCAUGAUUGUUUGCCUUUAUUAAAAGGCAUAAACAUCUGCUAGAGGCAAGACCAGUUGUGGAAAAGAUUUCAGCUCCAACAUACAUCCUUGAGAAAAAGCUGGCUAAAUAGUGCUUAGAUAGACUUAAAAACUAUGAACAUACUGUAACAUCUUCAAUGAGCCUGAUAUCUCUUAGAAGUGGGAC
Molecule: long non-coding RNA, 526 nt
Filed under: Androctonus crassicauda
Lineage: Eukaryota; Metazoa; Arthropoda; Arachnida; Scorpiones; Buthidae
Source: RNAcentral